CGCAGGCGGGCGUGGCGCCCAGCCACCCCUCAUAAGGGAGGAUCGCCCGGUUCGACUCCGGGGCCUGCGACCA
Molecule: transfer RNA, 73 nt
Filed under: Actinoplanes campanulatus
Lineage: Bacteria; Bacillati; Actinomycetota; Actinomycetes; Micromonosporales; Micromonosporaceae
Description: tRNA-Met
Source: RNAcentral